CUCCGGAUGGUCUAGCUGGUUAUGACGGUUGCUUCACACGCAACAGGUCGGCGGUUCGACUCCGCCUCUGGAAA
Non-coding RNA from Sphaeroforma arctica JP610, 74 nucleotides. Lineage: Eukaryota; Ichthyosporea; Ichthyophonida. The record is from Rfam.